UGGAGUCCACAAAGCAGUUAGUAGAGUCUGUAACCUCUCUUUUCUAUUCCUGGCCUCUCUCAACCACUCAGCUGUGCCAACUACCUCAGAAUUCUAGGUGUGAUGGAAAGAAAUAGGCCUCCUGUGCCAGAUUCCACACAACUGAGGGAACCAGGCACUCACUUACUACACUCUCACUUUCCCCCAUGGGAGAAAACAUGGUUCGAGGGGUUAUCUCUUGGCACUGAGCAGUGCUGCCUGGGGGAGGACCAACAUGGGUAAAAUGAAAUUUUCUUACCCUCUUUGAUGUGCCUAUUCUUAAAUUUUUUGCUCUAACAAAGUGCUGGAACUCAUCCACUAGGUUCCUGGAGUCCCAUCAAGGGAGAAGAAGUUUAACAGAGAUGAGGCAUCCUGGAAUAUCCAGGUGGCAACAUGGAGUAGAGAUGAUGACUACUUCUAGGCCAUGAAAAACCAGCAGGAUCCAUGAUGGCUGAGAAAUGACAAUAUUGGUGAAUUAAGUACAUCUCAGGGAGAAGCCCUAUUAAAUUAGCCUAAUACCUUA
This is a long non-coding RNA of Homo sapiens (human), 541 nucleotides long. RefSeq lists it as uncharacterized. The transcript has 2 exons. The record is from RefSeq and is a predicted model, not a curated record. NCBI's taxonomy places the organism in Eukaryota, Metazoa, Chordata, Mammalia, Primates, Hominidae.